UGAGUAACCUGCCCCAAACUCUGGGAUAAGCACUGGAAACGGUGUCUAAUACCGGAUACGAGCUUCAGCCGCAUGGCUAGGAGUUGGAAAGAAUUUCGGUUUGGGAUGGACUCGCGGCCUAUCAGCUAGUUGGUGAGGUAAUGGCUCACCAAGGCGACGACGGGUAGCCGGCCUGAGAGGGUGACCGGCCACACUGGGACUGAGACACGGCCCAGACUCCUACGGGAGGCAG
Molecule: ribosomal RNA, 232 nt
Filed under: uncultured bacterium
Lineage: Bacteria
Description: partial 16S ribosomal RNA
Rfam family: Bacterial small subunit ribosomal RNA
Source: RNAcentral